GCCGAGGUGCUGAAAUUGGUAUACAGGCUACGUUGAGGACGUAGUGCCCUUUAGGGCGUGCAGGUUCAAGUCCUGUCCUCGGCA
Molecule: transfer RNA, 84 nt
Filed under: Candidatus Woesebacteria bacterium RIFOXYB1_FULL_38_16
Lineage: Bacteria; Candidatus Woeseibacteriota
Description: tRNA-Leu
Rfam family: tRNA
About the family: Transfer RNA (tRNA) molecules are approximately 80 nucleotides in length. Their secondary structure includes four short double-helical elements and three loops (D, anti-codon, and T loops).
Source: RNAcentral